Molecule: long non-coding RNA, 149 nt
Organism: Diprion similis
Lineage: Eukaryota; Metazoa; Arthropoda; Insecta; Hymenoptera; Diprionidae
Exons: 3
Source: RefSeq, a predicted model, not a curated record
GAAUAGAUUCAAACACACAAUCCAUCACUCGAGCAGCAGACACUCAACCCAUUUCGUCAUGCUGAACUGAGGGAUUUCCCAGAAUUAUCUUGGGCUAUAUUCGGGUCCGGGUGAAGGAAGAUAGAGAGAGAGAGAGAGAGAGAGAGAGA